RNAcentral lists this ribosomal RNA (479 nucleotides) under uncultured bacterium. RNAcentral describes it as "bacterial SSU rRNA". It matches the Rfam family "Bacterial small subunit ribosomal RNA", at positions 28 to 506 of the family's 1533-position model. The record is from RNAcentral.
GACGAACGCUGGCGGCGUGCCUAACACAUGCAAGUCAACUUGACUGAAGGAGCAAUCUGACAGUAGAGUGGCGCAAGGGUGCGUAACGCGUAAGUAACUUGCCCCAAGGUAAGGAAUAACGUCGAGAAAUCGGCGCUAAUACCUCAUAAUGCAGCGGAUCCGCAUGGAUAUGUUGUUAAAGGUUUACCGCCUUGGGAUAGGCUUGCGUCUGAUUAGUUAGUUGGUGUGGUAACGGCACACCAAGGCUACGAUCAGUAACUGGUCUGAGAGGAUGAUCAGUCACACUGGAACUGAGACACGGUCCAGACUCCUACGGGAGGCAGCAGUGAGGAAUAUUGGGCAAUGCUCGAAAGAGUGACCCAGCAACGCCGCGUGGAGGAUGAAGGUAUUCUAUAUCGUAAACUCCUGUGAGAGCAGACGAAAGACAGAUUAUUAAUCUGGAUGACUGUAUGCUCAGAGGAAGCCCCGGCUAACUACGU